UCCCUAGUGGUCCAGUGGUUUAAGACUCCCCACUUUCAAUGCAGGGGGGUGCAGGUUCGAUUCCUGGUCAGGGAA
Molecule: transfer RNA, 75 nt
Filed under: Bos taurus (domestic cattle)
Lineage: Eukaryota; Metazoa; Chordata; Mammalia; Artiodactyla; Bovidae
Also listed under: 2 other names
Rfam family: tRNA
About the family: Transfer RNA (tRNA) molecules are approximately 80 nucleotides in length. Their secondary structure includes four short double-helical elements and three loops (D, anti-codon, and T loops).
Source: Rfam by way of RNAcentral